Molecule: non-coding RNA, 28 nt
Filed under: Homo sapiens (human)
Lineage: Eukaryota; Metazoa; Chordata; Mammalia; Primates; Hominidae
Source: RNAcentral
UCCCAAAGUGCUGGAAUUACAGGCGUGA